AUAUGGGUGUGAAUUAUAUUGCAGUUUUUAAAAUAUUUACUCUACUGGAGAAUAAAUUUGAAGAAGCCUGCAAUCUUCGGGUUGGAAAAAAUUUAAAUCUUAAUUUUUCUUGCAAUGAUGUUGCCUGGAACCUCAAUGAUAAUCAUAUAUUGGCGACAGCAGCAACAAAUGGUGCAGUGGUUGUUUGGAAUUUAAAUAAACAAUCUCGGUCAAAACAGGAGCAUGUAUUUAUAGGUUAUAAAAGAACUGUGAAUAAAGUGAGCUUUCAUAUGAGAAGAACCUAUGUGGUUAAUAUCUGGCUCACAAGAUGGUACUAUGAAAUGUUUUGAUUUAUGAAUAAAAGAAACCAUUAAAACUUUUUAUAGAAUCGGUGAGAGAUGUUCAAUUUUGUCCACAAUAACCGCAUACUUGCUGCUGUAUCCGAAAAUAGACAUGUACAGCAAUGAGACAUGAGAAAGCCGCAUCGUUAUUUUCAA
This is a long non-coding RNA of Formica exsecta, 476 nucleotides long. RefSeq lists it as uncharacterized. Lineage: Eukaryota; Metazoa; Arthropoda; Insecta; Hymenoptera; Formicidae. The record is from RefSeq and is a predicted model, not a curated record. The transcript has 3 exons.